This 473-nucleotide ribosomal RNA is filed under the name uncultured bacterium. RNAcentral describes it as "partial 16S ribosomal RNA". It matches the Rfam family "Bacterial small subunit ribosomal RNA", at positions 355 to 813 of the family's 1533-position model. The record is from RNAcentral.
UGGGGAAUUUUGGACAAUGGGCGAAAGCCUGAUCCAGCAAUGCCGCGUGUGUGAAGAAGGCCUUCGGGUUGUAAAGCACUUUUGUCCGGAAAGAAAUCCUUGGCUCUAAUACAGUCGGGGGAUGACGGUACCGGAAGAAUAAGCACCGGCUAACUACGUGCCAGCAGCCGCGGUAAUACGUAGGGUGCAAGCGUUAAUCGGAAUUACUGGGCGUAAAGCGUGCGCAGGCGGUUUGCUAAGACCGAUGUGAAAUCCCCGGGCUCAACCUGGGAACUGCAUUGGUGACUGGCAGGCUAGAGUAUGGCAGGAGGGGGGUAGAAUUCCACGUGUGAGCAGUGAAAUGCGUAGGAGAUGGUGGAGGAAUACCGAUGGCGAAGGCAGCCCCCUGGGCCAAUACUGACGCUCAUGCAGCGAAAGCGUGGGGGAGCAAACAGGAUUCAGAUACCCUGGUAGUCCACGCCCUAAACGAUGUC